RNAcentral lists this ribosomal RNA (287 nucleotides) under uncultured bacterium. RNAcentral describes it as "partial 16S ribosomal RNA". It matches the Rfam family "Bacterial small subunit ribosomal RNA", at positions 775 to 1067 of the family's 1533-position model. The record is from RNAcentral.
GGAUUAGAUACCCUGGUAGUCCACGCUGUAAACGAUGAUUACUCGGUGUUGGCGAUAUACAGUCAGUGCCCAAGCGAAAGUGAUAAGUAAUCCACCUGGGGAGUACGAUCGCAAGGUUGAAACUCAAAGGAAUUGACGGGGGCCCGCACAAGCGGUGGAGCAUGUGGUUUAAUUCGAUGAUACGCGAGGAACCUUACCUGGGCUUAAAUGCACAAUGACCGUCUCGGAAACGAGACUUUCUUCGGACAGGGUGCAAGGUGCUGCAUGGUUGUCGUCAGCUCGUGCCG